Long non-coding RNA from Paramacrobiotus metropolitanus, 1643 nucleotides. RefSeq lists it as uncharacterized. The record is from RefSeq and is a predicted model, not a curated record. NCBI's taxonomy places the organism in Eukaryota, Metazoa, Tardigrada, Eutardigrada, Parachela, Macrobiotidae. The transcript is spliced from 3 exons.
UAACCUUAUCCAUGAUUUCAUUUUUCAAAAUUAGUACCACUACAAAAAUUUGUACCACUACCAAAAUUUGUACUACUACCAAUAUUCACAUUGAAAUUUUUGCCGAUGGUUUCUCUGGUUUAUCACGCGUGCUGUUCGACGCCGGUCCUUGAUAAAGGAAGAGUUUAAUUCUCACUUGGAACCAUACGCACCAGGAAACUGUGGUAGUCAGAUGUAUCUAUGUAAUCAAUAUCAUCCGUGUUCGACAGAUGCAUAUGAUCCAGGAGAUUCUGCUGCGAUAAAUUAAAUUGCUGAUAAGGCAAAUCCAGACUGUAGUAGAUUUCGGCUGAAUCGUUCCCGAUUAGCGUAGUCAGCUCUUUUUCAAGUUGAGCAAAUUCAGGUCGUUCUUCCGGUGCUGUUAUCCAACAGCUAAGCAUUAAGCUGUAGCUGCAAGUUUGCAACAGAAUGCAAAGUAGUAACUAUAGAGCAGGAGUUCAAUGCUUUUCUAGCUAUACUAGUAGUGCAAGUCUUUAAAAUUUUAAACGCUGCUUACAUCGACACUGGACAUGUUGCUGGUCGUUCCAUACGGGUGCCGUUGCGUAACGAUGAUAGGAAGUCCAGCAGAUUCGAGAUGUCAAGACUACUAUUUGCGUACGGCGUUUCUCCCAAACUGAAGAGUUCCCACAUCAGCACGCCAAAUGACCACACAUCCGACUUUUGAUUGAACAACCGCUGAAUUAUUGAUUCCGGCGACAUCCAGCGCACAGACUUGUCGAUACUCCGAUUGACGUUUCGGCUGACGGCCGGCUGGAGUCCUUUAAUAGCCGGCUAAAUCAACGCGGCUGGAAGUCUCAGCCGGCUAGAGCGGCUCACGAAAUUUCCCGGGGAAAUUCGUGAAACAGUGGGACGGCUUAGCCGGAGGCCGGCUAGUGAAAGUGUUCCUAAUAGUGUGAUUUGCGAACUUGAUUGCCGUCCGGCCAGAAAACGAUUUGCGUCCAUACAUUCUGCGGGUCCUCGCUCCGCACAACAGCGACACCCACCGCGGGCGCCCAACGAUCCACGCACGGAUUAUCGCGCAGGCAUGCAGAAUGUUGCAGCCACAGUGCCGACCGCAUCUGGCGUCCUUUGGAAACUUUUGCUCGCCAUUCGAUUUCGCCAAAACGAAAAUGAAACGCGUUUUUUGUAUUCACAUCCAGCUGAUUCCAUUCCGAUACAGGAGGUGAUCGAGUUGCAACAAUACUGAGCGAGCCAUUUUUCAGUGUGACAGUCCACGGUGAAACAGAAUGCUGUGUCUCAUCUAUGAUAUGAUAAGGUAUGAUUUUAUAAGGUAAGGUAUGAUUUUAUUGUCCAUUUCGAUGUGUCUAGAAUGGUACUGUUAAAGGAGUCGUGAAAAGUCAUUUGUCUAGCCCGCAUAGUUUUAAUGUGAUUAAUUAAUGUGAUCGAAAUGAUUAAUGUGAUCGAAAUGAUUAAUUAAUGUGAUUAAUUAAUGUGAUUAAUUAAUGUGCAUUCGAAAUUAAUGUGAUCGAAUAGACUGGCAAAAUCCAAAGCAGAAAUACCACGUGCUGGAAGAAUGUAUUCAUGCUUAGUAUAAUUCGUAUUAAAUUAUUAAUCAACCCUUAAUUCAUGAUUUCUGUUACGGUGGAUGAACAAUAAAACUGAGAAGC